This 414-nucleotide ribosomal RNA is filed under the name uncultured bacterium. RNAcentral's name for it is "bacterial SSU rRNA". It matches the Rfam family "Bacterial small subunit ribosomal RNA", at positions 28 to 433 of the family's 1533-position model. The record is from RNAcentral.
GAUGAACGCUAGCUACAGGCUUAACACAUGCAAGUCGAGGGGCAGCAUUAUCGAAGCUUGCUUUGAUAGAUGGCGACCGGCGCACGGGUGAGUAACGCGUAUCCAACCUUCCCCAUAGUCAGGAAUAGCCCGGCGAAAGUCGAAUUAAUGCCUGAUGUUUUCCACGGACGGCAUCCGAUGUGGAACAAAGAUUCAUCGCUAUGGGAUGGGGAUGCGUCUGAUUAGCUUGUUGGCGGGGUAACGGCCCACCAAGGCAACGAUCAUAGGGGUUCUGAGAGGAAGGUCCCCCACAUUGGAACUGAGACACGGUCCAAACUCCUACGGGAGGCAGCAGUGAGGAAUAUUGGUCAAUGGGCGGAAGCCUGACCAGCCAAGUAGCGUGAGGGAUGACUAGCCCUAUGGGUUGUAAACCUC